Molecule: ribosomal RNA, 288 nt
Filed under: uncultured prokaryote
Description: partial 16S ribosomal RNA
Source: RNAcentral
CCCUAUGUGUAUCAUGAUUACACGAUCUUCGUCGCGGAGGUCGCGUCCACCUUCAACGAGACCCUCCUGAGCGAUUACCUUUUGCGAAAAUAUGAUAACGACGCGAACAUGAAGGCCUAUAUCCUGAACCGCGAGAUAGACAACAUCCGCGGGACCCUGUUCAGGCAGACCAUGUUCGCCGAAUUCGAAAUGCUCACGCACAGGGCCGUCGAAGAGAACAGCCCCCUCACCCUCGAGGUGUUGCGCGACAUGUACCGCGGGCUGCUGAAGGCAUACUUCGGCGAGAGC